Molecule: transfer RNA, 63 nt
Filed under: Salmo salar (Atlantic salmon)
Lineage: Eukaryota; Metazoa; Chordata; Actinopteri; Salmoniformes; Salmonidae
Rfam family: tRNA
About the family: Transfer RNA (tRNA) molecules are approximately 80 nucleotides in length. Their secondary structure includes four short double-helical elements and three loops (D, anti-codon, and T loops).
Source: Rfam by way of RNAcentral
UCCCGUGUGGCUCAGUUGGUAGAGCAUGGUGUUUGCAACGCCGGGGUUCGAUUCCCACGGGGG